RNAcentral lists this ribosomal RNA (449 nucleotides) under uncultured bacterium. Its description in RNAcentral is "bacterial SSU rRNA". It matches the Rfam family "Bacterial small subunit ribosomal RNA", at positions 335 to 798 of the family's 1533-position model. The record is from RNAcentral.
ACUCCUACGGGAGGCAGCAGUGGGGAAUCUUGCACAAUGGGCGAAAGCCUGAUGCAGCAACGCCGCGUGCGGGAAGACGGCCCUAGGGUUGUAAACCGCUUUCAGGAGGGAAGAAAAUGACGGUACCUCCAGAAGAAGGUGCGGCCAACUACGUGCCAGCAGCCGCGGUGACACGUAGGCACCAAGCGUUAUCCGGAUUUAUUGGGGCGUAAAGAGCUCGUAGGCGGUUCGGUAAGUCGGGUGUGAAAUCCAAGGCUCAACCUUGGGACGCCACCCGAUACUGCUGUGACUCGAGUGCAGUAGGGGAGCAGGGAAUUCCUGGUGUAGCGGUGAAAUGCGCAGAUAUCAGGAGGAACACCAGUGGCGAAGGCGCUGCUCUGGGCUGUAACUGACGCUGAGGAGCGAAAGCAUGGGUAGCAAACAGGAUUAGAUACCCUGGUAGCGACUGA